AUUGAACGCUGGCGGCAUGCCUUACACAUGCAAGUCGAACGGCAGCACGGGAGCUUGCUCCUGGUGGCGAGUGGCGAACGGGUGAGUAAUACAUCGGAACGUACCCUGAAGUGGGGGAUAACGUAGCGAAAGUUACGCUAAUACCGCAUAUUCUGUGAGCAGGAAAGAGGGGGAUCGCAAGACCUCUUGCUUUAGGAGCGGCCGAUGUCGGAUUAGCUAGUUGGUGAGGUAAAGGCUCACCAAGGCGACGAUCCGUAGCGGGUCUGAGAGGAUGAUCCGCCACACUGGGACUGAGACACGGCCCAGACUCCUACGGGAGGCAGCAGUGGGGAAUUUUGGACAAUGGGCGCAAGCCUGAUCCAGCCAUGCCGCGU
This 374-nucleotide ribosomal RNA is filed under the name uncultured bacterium. Its description in RNAcentral is "bacterial SSU rRNA". It matches the Rfam family "Bacterial small subunit ribosomal RNA", at positions 30 to 402 of the family's 1533-position model. The record is from RNAcentral.